This 236-nucleotide small RNA is filed under the name Pan troglodytes (chimpanzee). RNAcentral's name for it is "processed transcript". The record is from RNAcentral. Lineage: Eukaryota; Metazoa; Chordata; Mammalia; Primates; Hominidae.
GAUCUGAGGUGGAGAUGGCGGGUAUUAUCACUGGCAUUUUACAGCGAGGAGUCAACAAGAAGUUUACAGCACUGAGAAAGACGAGUCAGCAACAGAAGGAAAAAAAUCCAGAGAAAAUGGCACUUGCUGCAUUGGAAUGAAAGAUAAUCUGCAGAAGGUAAAUGGACAGGAGAGAUUUUCAUCAUUUUUAAUGUAUUUGCAAUGACCAUGAUUUAUAUUAAAGGUUCUCUUCUCUG